Molecule: ribosomal RNA, 253 nt
Filed under: uncultured bacterium
Lineage: Bacteria
Description: partial 16S ribosomal RNA
Rfam family: Bacterial small subunit ribosomal RNA
Source: RNAcentral
UACAGAGGCCUCGAGCGUUAGGCGGAAUCACUGGGCUUAAAGCGUGUGUAGGUGGGUCCGUAAGUACCUUGUGAAAUCCCAUGGCUCAACCAUGGAACUGCUGGGUAUACUGCGGGUCUUGAGCUAUCUAGAGGUUACUGGAACAAACGGUGGAGCGGUGAAAUGCGUAGAUAUCGUUUGGAACGCCAAUGGUGAAAGCAGGUAACUGGGGAUAUGCUGACACUGAGACACGAAAGCCAGGGGAGCAAACGGG